GAUCCCUAUGUACCUGAGCUUUUCCAAAGCUUGUCUGGUUGUUUCCAUUACCAAAGUCUAUGUUCCAGAGAAAAAUCAAGCUCCCUGGCAACCAUGCAAUUUUCACAUGAAAAUUCAGCCUUCCUGCUUUUGCUGACCAGCAAAUCUGAUACUAUGAAAAAGAAGCAGAUUUCUGAUGCUGAAGGACACCGUUGUCAUGUUUCUUCACUUCUUCUAGCUGAAUCAUUGGGAAUUGUACUUGUUUUUCAAACCAUUUGGCUACUGUGAGCAGCUGCUUCUCUUGGAAUGAACGCCCAAUGAACUGAAGCCCAAUUGGCAAGCCUCGUCCUGAAAGAGCUGUAGGAACAUUUACGGCUGGCAGUCCUGAAACAAAAGAAGUUAUUCACACAAAGGCUUGCUAUUAAACAAAUCCAGUUAGAGUCAUUUUUGUAACAAUUCUGAGAGAACCAGAGCAGUUCAGUAGCAUUUUAAAAUCUACCCCUACAUUAUGAAUCAUUUUACAAAUGUCCACUGUACUUAUGUACAGAGUUGUUAACUUUCCAUUGUAAGUUAACAAGAGGGGGGAGGUAUCUCAAUUCUAUGUAAGAGGUUAAAAGGUUGAAGGGAAUGGAUGUUACAGGCAGGAGAAAACACAGUUGAACUCCUGCCCCUGCUCACCAGCCAUGUUUGCAGCCUGUGUUAGGAUGUCAUCUUCCGUGCUGCGGGUUCUGUUGUCUUCUUUGAUGAAUUCCAUAUACGGGAGUGCAUCGCUCAGAGUGGUAGGAGUGAGUAAAAUAUCAAUACCACUUCCAAAAACCUUCACAAAGUCAUUGGCAAUGAGACGUCUGACUUUCUGUGCCUUGACAAAGUAAUCCUCAUAAUUCCUAGAAAGAAAUAGGGGUGUGAGGGUGGAAUGCUACGAUUCUGAAAAUACACAACAAUUGCUUAGUUACCAUAGAAAAGAUAAGCUCUAUAUUCCUCCUGAUUAAGAGGCUAACAUGUAUUUGAGUUUCUCAUAUACCACAAGCUUAGUCACCAAACACAGUGCUUACGCUCUCAUAGCCACAAAGACGUCAGAGAAAGAAGACACAAGAAAAUUCUGUUGAAGAAAGGUGAAGGGAAAACAAAACCCCAGUUUAAAAUAGCUGAGGAUCAGAAUAAUGCUAUAUGGCCUUUCUGGAACUAAACUGUAUAUUGGAUUUCACUGCAGAAAGGCACAGUAAAGUCUAGAAAUACUAUAGAAGCAAAGCAGGUUUGCAAAAUAGGCGUUAAGCUCUAGGAUUCAAUCCAGCUAGACACUUAAUGAAUGUGAAAAACUCCUAUAAUCUCUGCAGACAUCCAAAUGGACUUGAAACCAAGAAUGUGUUUCUAGUACGCUUCUUACUAAACUAUGCUCUUUCCUCUAUUUUUUUUCCCUAUAUUAGUGUUGGGUUUAUGGCUUUCUAAACUGUCUUUAUGCUAUCCUGAAGCAGAAACAAAUCAGUUAGCUUUAUAUUUAUUGUUCUUUUUAAUUUCACAUGUAGAACUGGCAAACAUGUAACAGAAUUCAUAACUUCAGAGUUUAGUUUCAAAAGCAAUCACCAACAGUUACUCUUUAAAAAAAAAUUAAAAUGCUGAUAAAUCAAACCUACUCUGUUAAUUCUGAUGCAGUGACUAUAAACAACCAUCAAUGCAUGAAUGAUCACAUAG
This is a long non-coding RNA of Lagopus leucura (white-tailed ptarmigan), 1668 nucleotides long. RefSeq lists it as uncharacterized. The record is from RefSeq and is a predicted model, not a curated record. The transcript has 3 exons. NCBI's taxonomy places the organism in Eukaryota, Metazoa, Chordata, Aves, Galliformes, Phasianidae.